AAGCGGCUGGCACCCGUCACAACUGCCAUAUCUCGGAUCCUCGGAUUCGCAGAACCCCGUGAAAAGAAAGUGCAUUAACUUGUUAUGCGAUGUUGGGCGAGAGGCGUCUCGCCGGAGCCCCCCGGCCCCUCGGGGUCCCCGGGGCUUCCGAAUCAAAGCGCGCACCCCAUUUUCAACCACACCAAACUCCGAAUCUGAACUCAAAAGGGAGACUGGCCCCCAGGCCGGUCGACCUCAACCUUAUAACGUUGUAAAACUUUCAGCGACGGAUGUCUUGGCUCCCACAACGAUGAAGAACGCAGCGAAAUGCGAUACGUCUUGCGACUUGCAGAAUCCAGUGAAUCAUCAAAACUUUGAACGCAUCUUGCGCUUCCGGGAUAUUCCUGGGAGCAUGCUUGUCGGAGUGUCUGUUGACACCACUCGACCGUCCCCCUUCAUCCUCCCGUAAAACGGUGCGGUGAGGGGUGGCGAGCGGACUAUGCGUGUUCCGGAGCUGCCCGCGCGCCCUCGGGUGUUCGGGCGAGCGCUCCGCGUGCACCGAAUAUUGUGAACGAAACUCUCUNCUGUUUGCGGCCUUCGUCGCGCAGAGCUGUUGACGGCGCCUGUACCCUUCACCGGGUUCCGGCGACUCUCGGCUCGAUCAAUGUGCGGUGAAGGGCCAUUCGCGACUGAGUCGUUGUCUUCGCGCCGUGCGGUCCCUGCGACCGUGCUCCGUGUUUUACUACUUUCGU
RNAcentral lists this unclassified non-coding RNA (731 nucleotides) under Phaeurus antarcticus. RNAcentral's name for it is "sequence contains ITS1". The stretch from base 255 to 409 matches the Rfam family "5.8S ribosomal RNA". The record is from RNAcentral. Lineage: Eukaryota; Phaeophyceae; Desmarestiales; Desmarestiaceae.